UACGUAGGGGGCUAGCGUUAUCCGGAAUGAUUGGGCGUAAAGCGUCCGCAGGUGGCUAUGUAAGUCUGCUGUUAAAGAGUGAGGCUCAACCUCAUAAGAGCAGUGGAAACUACAUGGCUAGAGUGCGUUCGGGGCAGAGGGAAUUCCUGGUGUAGCGGUGAAAUGCGUAGAGAUCAGGAAGAACACCGGUGGCGAAAGCGCUCUGCUAGGCCGCAACUGACACUCAUGGACGAAAGCUAGGGGAGCGAAUGGG
This 253-nucleotide ribosomal RNA is filed under the name uncultured bacterium. RNAcentral's name for it is "partial 16S ribosomal RNA". It matches the Rfam family "Bacterial small subunit ribosomal RNA", at positions 524 to 776 of the family's 1533-position model. The record is from RNAcentral.